Transfer RNA from Ovis aries (sheep), 70 nucleotides. It matches the Rfam family "tRNA". Rfam says of the family: Transfer RNA (tRNA) molecules are approximately 80 nucleotides in length. NCBI's taxonomy places the organism in Eukaryota, Metazoa, Chordata, Mammalia, Artiodactyla, Bovidae. The record is from Rfam.
CCCUGGUGGCUCAGUGGUAAAGAACCUGCCUGAAAUGCAGGAAACUCAGGUUUGAUCCCUGGAUCAGGGA